AGCUUCAUGGCGCAGUGGAAGCGCACCAGGUUCGUAACCGAAAUUACCUGGAGGUCCUCUGAUCAAAACAGGGUGAAGCUA
Annulohypoxylon bovei var. microspora is the source of this 81-nucleotide non-coding RNA. NCBI's taxonomy places the organism in Eukaryota, Fungi, Ascomycota, Sordariomycetes, Xylariales, Hypoxylaceae. The record is from the annotation of a GenBank genome assembly.